Molecule: long non-coding RNA, 898 nt
Organism: Anas platyrhynchos (mallard)
Lineage: Eukaryota; Metazoa; Chordata; Aves; Anseriformes; Anatidae
Source: RefSeq, a predicted model, not a curated record
AUGGGAAGUUGCCUAAACUGUCCACGUCAAGCUCAUAAAAAAGUUGGGUAGUGGUACAAUGCAAUCUUUCUGGAGACACCAGUACCCAAAGGUGAUAAGCAUUUUGAGGAAUUUCUUCUCUAUGUCUUCUCCAUCCCUCAAUAGAGAAAGACAGGAAAAAUGAGAGGUUGAUCUCAACUACAAAAUUAUCCACUUCAGUCCUUUCAAGUGGAACCUUAUUAAAUUCUGUCAGCAGGAAUCAGGUCCUUGGCAUAGCAGAGUGAGUUAUGAAUGUUAGUUCCUGGGCUUGUCUUCUGAGCUACUUCUGUAGACCUCCCUUGAGACUUCUGGACUGAGAAGUAAAAGAAAACAUUGUGAAAAAUUUUCUUCAAGCAGUAACUGGACAUCUCUGCAGUUUACUGAUUGUGCGUUUCUAUUUUUGUAUAUUAUGUUUGAAUUAUUUAAUCACUUCAAUUUCUAGAGAGACUUUUAAUCAACUGGAUUAAAAUAUAUUGCAUUUUGGAAUGUGUAGUGUAGGAUUCAUGUAUUUUCAUUCACCAGUUUCAUCAUGGUUGUUGUUGGUCCUCAGUGAGAUUUUUUUUUGGUGAUGAGAUUUAACAAGGAUGGGAGUUGUGAAAAGGUUGGGAAAGUAUGGAUUGUAACCGUUCCGGUGUUUUUCUGUGAAGGUUUCAGUAACAGUAGUGAUAGGGUUGGCAUAAUUUUGACUAUGAGCAUUUAUGUUGAAAAAAUGCUCAAGCUACUUUAUCACUACAAUAUUUUUGAGGUAUAUUUGCUCUAACAACUGCUACUAGAUUGUAACAAUGAACACUAACACCAAAAAUCAAUUCAAGAGCUAAGGGAGAUGCUUUAUUUACUGUUCAAAGCUUUGGAAAUUUCAAUAAAAAAUUUGUCUAUUUGA